CUACGGAGGGUCCAAGCGUUAUCCGGAUUCAUUGGGUUUAAAGGGUCCGCAGGCGGGAAAAUAAGUCAGUGGUGAAAGCCUACAGCUCAACUGUAGAACUGCCAUUGAAACUGUUUUUCUUGAGUAUAGAUGAAGUGGACGGAAUAUAUCAUGUAGCGGUGAAAUGCAUAGAUAUGAUAUAGAACACCGAUUGCGAAGGCAGCUCACUAAACUAUUACUGACGCUCAGGGACGAAAGCGUGGGGAGCGAACAGGAUUAGAAACCCUUGUAGUCC
This 274-nucleotide ribosomal RNA is filed under the name uncultured bacterium. Its description in RNAcentral is "partial 16S ribosomal RNA". It matches the Rfam family "Bacterial small subunit ribosomal RNA", at positions 523 to 796 of the family's 1533-position model. The record is from RNAcentral.